AAUGAACGCUGGCGGCGUGCCUCAGACAUGCAAGUCGAACGAGAAAGCAUCUUCGGGUGUGAGUACAGUGGCGCACGGGUGAGUAAUACUUGGGUAACGUACCUUUUUGCUGGGGAUAACUGGAGGAAACUCCAGCUAAUACCGAAUAGUCCCUUCGGGGUAAAGUCGUAAGGCGCGAAAAGAUCGGCCCAAGUCCCAUUAGCUAGUUGGUAAGGUAAAGGCUUACCAAGGCGACGAUGGGUAGCUGGUCUGAGAGGAUGAUCAGCCACACUGGUACUGGAACACGGACCAGACUCCUACGGGAGGCAGCAGUUAGGAAUUUUGCGCAAUGGGGGCAACCCUGACGCAGCAACGCCGCGUGAGUGAAGAAGGAUUUCGGUUCGUAAAGCUCUUUCAGCAGGAAAGAAGAUGACGGUACCUGCAGAAGAAGCACCGGCUAACUCCG
RNAcentral lists this ribosomal RNA (445 nucleotides) under uncultured Pseudomonadota bacterium. RNAcentral describes it as "bacterial SSU rRNA". It matches the Rfam family "Bacterial small subunit ribosomal RNA", at positions 29 to 505 of the family's 1533-position model. Lineage: Bacteria; Pseudomonadati; Pseudomonadota. The record is from RNAcentral.